GACGAACGCUGGCGGCGUGCUUAACACAUGCAAGUCGAACGAAGAGCGAUGGAAGCUUGCUUCUAUCAAUCUUAGUGGCGCACGGGUGAGUAACGCGUAAUCAACCUGCCCUUCAGAGGGGGACAACAGUUGGAAACGACUGCUAAUGCCGCAUACGAUCUGACCUCGGCAUCGAGGAUAGAUGAACGGUGGCCUCUAUUUAUAAGCUAUCACUGCAGGAGGGGAUUGCGUCUGAUUAGCUAGUUGGAGGGGUAACGGCCCACCAAGGCGAUGAUCAGUAGCCGGUCUGAGAGGAUGAACGGCCACAUUGGGACUGAGACACGGCCCAGACUCCUACGGGAGGCAGCAGUGGGGAAUCUUCCGCAAUGGACGAAAGGCUGACGGAGCAACGCCGCGUGAGUGAUGACGGCCUUCGGGUUGGAAAGCUCUGUUAAUCGGGACGAAAGGCCUUCUUGCGAAUAGUUAGAAGGAUUGACGGUACCGGAAUAGAAAGCCACGGCUAACUACGUG
RNAcentral lists this ribosomal RNA (510 nucleotides) under uncultured bacterium. RNAcentral's name for it is "partial 16S ribosomal RNA". It matches the Rfam family "Bacterial small subunit ribosomal RNA", at positions 28 to 507 of the family's 1533-position model. The record is from RNAcentral.